RNAcentral lists this ribosomal RNA (492 nucleotides) under uncultured bacterium. RNAcentral's name for it is "partial 16S ribosomal RNA". It matches the Rfam family "Bacterial small subunit ribosomal RNA", at positions 28 to 507 of the family's 1533-position model. The record is from RNAcentral.
GAUGAACGCUAGCUACAGGCUUAACACAUGCAAGUCGAGGGGAAACGGCAUUGAGUGCUUGCACUCUUUGGACGUCGACCGGCGCACGGGUGAGUAACGCGUAUCCAACCUUCCCAUUACUGUGGGAUAACCUGCCGAAAGGCAGACUAAUACCGCAUAGUCUUCGAUGACGGCAUCAGAUUUGAAGUAAAGAUUUAUCGGUAAUGGAUGGGGAUGCGUCUGAUUAGCUUGUUGGCGGGGUAACGGCCCACCAAGGCUACGAUCAGUAGGGGUUCUGAGAGGAAGGUCCCCCACAUUGGAACUGAGACACGGUCCAAACUCCUACGGGAGGCAGCAGUGGGGAAUAUUGGUCAAUGGACGGAAGUCUGAACCAGCCAAGUAGCGUGCAGGAUGACGGCCCUAUGGGUUGUAAACUGCUUUUGUAUGGGGAUAAAGUUAGGGACGUGUCCCUAUUUGCAGGUACCAUACGAAUAAGGACCGGCUAAUUCCGUG